CCUACGGGUGGCAGCAGUGGGGAAUAUUGGACAAUGGGGGGAACCCUGAUCCAGCCAUGCCGCGUGUGUGAAGAAGGCCCUCGGGUUGUAAAGCACUUUCAGUGAGGAAGAACGCCUGGUGGUUAAUACCCAUCAGGAAAGACAUCACUCACAGAAGAAGCACCGGCUAACUCCGUGCCAGCAGCCGCGGUAAUACGGAGGGUGCGAGCGUUAAUCGGAAUUACUGGGCGUAAAGCGCGCGUAGGUGGCUUGAUAAGCCGGUUGUGAAAGCCCCGGGCUCAACCUGGGAACGGCAUCCGGAACUGUCAAGCUAGAGUGCAGGAGAGGAAGGUUGAAUUCCCGGUGUAGCGGUGAAAUGCGUAGAGAUCGGGAGGAAUACCAGUGGCGAAGGCGGCCUUCUGGACUGACACUGACACUGAGGUGCGAAAGCGUGGGUAGCAAACAGGAUUAGAUACCCUUGUAGUC
This 465-nucleotide ribosomal RNA is filed under the name Vreelandella stevensii. RNAcentral describes it as "partial 16S ribosomal RNA". It matches the Rfam family "Bacterial small subunit ribosomal RNA", at positions 338 to 795 of the family's 1533-position model. The record is from RNAcentral. Lineage: Bacteria; Pseudomonadati; Pseudomonadota; Gammaproteobacteria; Oceanospirillales; Halomonadaceae.